GAUGAACGCUGGCGGCGUGCCUAAUACAUGCAAGUCGAGCGAACAGACGAGGAGCUUUCUCCUCUGCCGUUAGCGGCGGACGGGUGAGUAACACGUGGAUAACCUACCCAUAAUACUUGGAUAACUUCGUGAAACCGGAGCUAAUACCGGAUAAUAUAUUUAACCGCAUGGUUCAAUAGUUAUAGACGGUUUUGCUGUCACUUAUAGAUGGAUCCGCGCCGCAUUAGCUAGUUGGUAAGGUAACGGCUUACCAAGGCAACGAUGCGUAGCCGACCUGAGAGGGUGAUCGGCCACACUGGAACUGAGACACGGUCCAGACUCCUACGGGAGGCAGCAGUAGGGAAUCUUCCGCAAUGGGCGAAAGCCUGACGGAGCAACGCCGCGUGAGUGAUGAAGGUCUUCGGAUCGUAAAACUCUGUUAUUAGGGAAGAACAAAUGUGUAAGUAACUAUGCACGUCUUGACGGUACCUAAUCAGAAAGCCACGGCUAACUACGUG
RNAcentral lists this ribosomal RNA (497 nucleotides) under uncultured bacterium. Its description in RNAcentral is "partial 16S ribosomal RNA". It matches the Rfam family "Bacterial small subunit ribosomal RNA", at positions 28 to 507 of the family's 1533-position model. The record is from RNAcentral.